This 440-nucleotide ribosomal RNA is filed under the name uncultured bacterium. Its description in RNAcentral is "bacterial SSU rRNA". It matches the Rfam family "Bacterial small subunit ribosomal RNA", at positions 339 to 796 of the family's 1533-position model. The record is from RNAcentral.
CUACGGGAGGCAGCAGUGGGGAAUGUUGGACAAUGGGCGAAAGCCUGGUCCAGCAAUGCCGCGUGAGUGAUGAAGGCCCUAGGGUUGUAAAGCUCUUUUACCCGGGAUGAUAAUGACAGUACCGGGAGAAUAAGCUCCGGCUAACUCCGUGCCAGCAGCCGCGGUAAUACGGAGGGAGCUAGCGUUGUUCGGAAUUACUGGGCGUAAAGCGCACGUAGGCGGCUAUUCAAGUCAGGGGUGAAAUCCCGGGGCUCAACCUCGGAACUGCCCUUGAAACUGGAUGGCUAGAAUCCUGGAGAGGCGAGUGGAAUUCCGAGUGUAGAGGUGAAAUUCGUAGAUAUUCGGAAGAACACCAGUGGCGAAGGCGACUCGCUGGACAGGUAUUGACGCUGAGGUGCGAAAGCGUGGGGAGCAAACAGGAUUAGAAACCCGGGUAGUCC